CACGGGGGGCGCAAGCGUUGUUCGGAAUCACUGGGCGUAAAGGGCGUGUAGGCGGUCAGGUAAGUGGGACGUGAAAUGCCUCGGCUCACCCGAGGAGCGGCGUCCCAUACUGCUUGGCUUGAGUACGGGAGAGGAUGUGGGAAUUCCUGGUGUAGCGGUGAAAUGCGUAGAUAUCAGGAGGAACACCGGUGGCGAAGGCGCACAUCUGGCCCGAUACUGACGCUGAGGCGCGAAAGCUAGGGGAGCAAACGGG
RNAcentral lists this ribosomal RNA (253 nucleotides) under uncultured bacterium. RNAcentral describes it as "partial 16S ribosomal RNA". It matches the Rfam family "Bacterial small subunit ribosomal RNA", at positions 524 to 776 of the family's 1533-position model. The record is from RNAcentral.